RNAcentral lists this ribosomal RNA (512 nucleotides) under Candida albicans. RNAcentral describes it as "eukaryotic LSU rRNA". The stretch from base 144 to 297 matches the Rfam family "5.8S ribosomal RNA". The record is from RNAcentral. Lineage: Eukaryota; Fungi; Ascomycota; Pichiomycetes; Serinales; Debaryomycetaceae.
GUGCUCUGAUUUGCUUAUUGCACCACAUGUGUUUUUCUUUGAAACAAACUUGCUUUGGCGGUGGGCCCAGCCUGCCGCCAGAGGUCUAAACUUACAACCAAUUUUUUAUCAACUUGUCACACCAGAUUAUUACUAAUAGUCAAAACUUUCAACAACGGAUCUCUUGGUUCUCGCAUCGAUGAAGAACGCAGCGAAAUGCGAUACGUAAUAUGAAUUGCAGAUAUUCGUGAAUCAUCGAAUUUUUGAACGCACAUUGCGCCCUCUGGUAUUCCGGAGGGCAUGCCUGUUUGAGCGUCGUUUCUCCCUCAAACCGCUGGGUUUGGUGUUGAGCAAUACGACUUGGGUUUGCUUGAAAGACGGUAGUGGUAAGGCGGGAUCGCUUUGACAAUGGCUUAGGUCUAACCAAAAACAUUGCUUGCGGCGGUAACGUCUACCACGUAUAUCUUCAAACUUUGACCUCAAAUCAGGUAGGACUACCCGCUGAACUUAAGCAUAUCAAUAAGCGGGAGGAA